GGUUCCAUGGUGUAGUGGUCAUCACGUCUGCUUUACACGCAGAAGGUCCUGGGUUCAAUCCCCAGUGGAACCU
Non-coding RNA from Eleginops maclovinus (Patagonian blennie), 73 nucleotides. Lineage: Eukaryota; Metazoa; Chordata; Actinopteri; Perciformes; Eleginopidae. The record is from the annotation of a RefSeq genome assembly.